ACCCACUCAUUUCAGCCCAUUUCUCCAUCAUUUCCCAUUAUAUUUUCAGAGCAUUUCAAGAGAGAGAGUGAAGGAAGAGGAAGAAGAAGUUGCUGCAGGUUGGAGGUUGAAGAAGGGAGAAAAAUCUCAUGCAAGUGCAACCAUGGAAGAAUUUGGGUUCAACCUACCUAUCUCUGGUUUUUAAGUCGGUUUGAGCUACACAAAAAGAAUUAAGAGGAAAACAGAGCACAGAAUUUUCGUGCAAAUCAGAAGGAUCUCUGCUUUUCUUUGGUUUUUCGAACAUUCUGGGGUGUACAGGUUGGAUUAGAAUCUCAAUUGGGAGAAAAGUAGAGGGUAGCAGAAAAGCACGAAUCUGUAUUCUCUGGGUUCAAGGGAUUUCUGGAUAAAUCCGUUGGGAAUCUCAUUUUUAUUCCUUCAGGUCAAGAGGAAAUAGGCCAAGUCUACAGACCAAGGAACUAGCCAAGACUGUGAGUGACAAAACAAAUUUCAAAAAGGAUUUCUAAACUGUAAUUUAUGCUUAAAUGAUUUACAUGCUUGAAUAUGAACUUAUGAAUGAUACAUGAUUUCUAUGAAUAGUUUCAAGCAUAAGUUUUGGGCUUAGAUUUUCUAAUGAUGUUUAUAUACGAGCACGUAAUUAUUGACUUCCUGAAAAGUAGUUGAAACGAUACCAUUUAAGGUAAAGUAUGUAUUAGCGAGUACUGUUUAAAGAUUUUUCAGUUUUUCACGAGCAAGCCGAGUAAGCUUGAGUUUUACGAAAGAUAAAGAUAAGCAGGCAUGUUUUAAUGUUUUCAUGUGGUUUUCUGAGACUUUUAUUGACUACAUGACUGAGAUAUUGAGCCUGAGGCUAUAUGGUACCGUGUGCACACAGGUUAUAUUCCAUUGUUGACGUUGAGUGUACUCCGUGACAACGAUGCUGUUGGGAGUGCUGGGCGGGCCCCACUACGACAAAGACGAUGGGAGUGCUGGGCGAGCCCCACUACAUCGUAGAGCUAGUAAACGUUGGUUGUACUGGGCGUGCACUACACAACGUUGAUUUGUCAUGUAGAGAUCGAGCUCCUGGUGCCUGAUAACUACCAAAGUCUGUUUUCUCCUAAAAGCUUCCAGAUCAAGCUUCAUAUGUGGGUGGAGUUAUACAUUGUGUCUGUUUAUAUUGUAAAUGUUAUUGUAAGAAUUGGAUAGUUUAUGGUUGUGUAAGAACUAAAUGUCGUGGUUGUGUAAACCCCAGUUGGAUAUGUUUUUGGUUGUGAUAUCUCUAUCAGGUUAUUUUCCAAACCGA
This is a non-coding RNA of Benincasa hispida (wax gourd), 1276 nucleotides long. The record is from RefSeq and is a predicted model, not a curated record. NCBI's taxonomy places the organism in Eukaryota, Viridiplantae, Streptophyta, Magnoliopsida, Cucurbitales, Cucurbitaceae.